RNAcentral lists this ribosomal RNA (343 nucleotides) under Pseudomonas aeruginosa. RNAcentral's name for it is "bacterial SSU rRNA". It matches the Rfam family "Bacterial small subunit ribosomal RNA", at positions 1 to 346 of the family's 1533-position model. Lineage: Bacteria; Pseudomonadati; Pseudomonadota; Gammaproteobacteria; Pseudomonadales; Pseudomonadaceae. The record is from RNAcentral.
GAACUGAAGAGUUUGAUCAUGGCUCAGAUUGAACGCUGGCGGCAGGCCUAACACAUGCAAGUCGAGCGGAUGAAGGGAGCUUGCUCCUGGAUUCAGCGGCGGACGGGUGAGUAAUGCCUAGGAAUCUGCCUGGUAGUGGGGGAUAACGUCCGGAAACGGGCGCUAAUACCGCAUACGUCCUGAGGGAGAAAGUGGGGGAUCUUCGGACCUCACGCUAUCAGAUGAGCCUAGGUCGGAUUAGCUAGUUGGUGGGGUAAAGGCCUACCAAGGCGACGAUCCGUAACUGGUCUGAGAGGAUGAUCAGUCACACUGGAACUGAGACACGGUCCAGACUCCUACGGGA